GAUGCUGGUGGCUCAGUUGGUAGAACAUGAGAACCAUGAGGCUAUAGUCCUCAACACAGUUGACCUGGGUUUGAUUCCCAGUCUCAGGUCA
Characodon lateralis is the source of this 91-nucleotide non-coding RNA. NCBI's taxonomy places the organism in Eukaryota, Metazoa, Chordata, Actinopteri, Cyprinodontiformes, Goodeidae. The record is from the annotation of a GenBank genome assembly.